UUUUUUUGCAAUGAAAACAUAACAGCUUACAUCUGAACUAUCUAUGUAAAAUGAAGUACCUACAGAAGCAACCCUCAAGAAGUUACUAUUUCAUGACAAGAUAAUACAGUACAUAUUGCCAACUUUCCUAUUUUAUCAUAGAGCCUGAGGCAGCAAACAGUUCCAAAAGUGAAGAACAGUUUGUAGGCAAUUGCCGUCUGUCCUUCAAGGAUAGUUUUCAUUUCCAAACAGUACUAAAAAUAUUUGAAAUGUGGAUGGGAAUUAUUUUCAAUUCCUACACAGGAUUUUUUAACUCUCCAUGCUUAUCACUGGACAACACUUUCUUCCUCAAGGAGGUGAGUACAAAGCUUCCCCACUCAAUUACUCUUCUCCACUUUUUUCUGGACUGUAUGCAUAUUUUUAAAUCAGAGAGCCUUUGCCGCCCCACACCCUUAUCUCUGCAUAACACUGAUAUUAAUUUGGUCAAAUAUUUAACAUGACUGAUAGUCUGAAAAUUAGAUUCACAGUUAACAUUAAAGUAUUUGAAUAUGUUAGUUCAAAUACAGCAAAACAGCCACUAUCACAAAGAAAUUAAAGAAAAAUCUAACACUAUAGUAAGAAAAAACAAAACCAAAACAAAACAAAAAAACCAACCAACCAAACAAACAAACAAAAAACCCCAAAGGGAUUUAUUUCCUACCAAAGAUGAGCUAUGUUUUGGGUUUUUUUCCUUUAUAGAAUGGCCAGCUUCUGGCCGUACAGAUGGUUUCAUUCAUGGAGAGUUGCAUUCUAUCAGCCAUACCUACAGUUCCAGCAGAACUACUAUCACUUUCUCUAGAAUCACAUCAAUGUAAGCAUCUUCAGAAAUAUGUACCAAUCCUUCUCGAGCAAGUAGCUGGGAAAAUUAGGAUCUUCCUAUAUCACAGACUCUCAAAUACAGGUUUGAACUUCAAUAAUACUUGCUCUUUUAAUCCUUACAUACAUCAUGGUGCUAGAUAACACCAAACUGGAACUCACACAAGACUAUGUGACCUUCAUUACUGGUGAUACUCAAAAUGUAUGUUUAAGUCUCUGCACAACCUGAUCUAAUAUUAGCUCUGCUUUAAGCAGAUGUUUGGACCACAAAGCUCCAAAGUUUAAAGUCCAGAACUCUAUAGUUAGGUACUGAACUACUUUAUGAUUAUCAGAGAAGUAAGGAAGCCAAACUCCUAAAAAUGAGAGGGAAAAAUAGUAGCGUGGGAACUAAAAGCCACUAACAACACAAAACUAGUGUUCUGUUGAUGAAUGGUAGGAAGAAGAUCAGGUAAGUAUCUGACAUCUGUAUGGGAAAAGCUGGAAUCUGCCUGAAGGGGGGGGGGGGGGGGGGGAAAAAAUAUACCAAAUUUCACUGCUAACUACUUUUCUUUUUUGCUGAACCUGUACCUACUGGUAAUUUAAGCAGUUUCCAGAGCCAGACUGAAAGCACAAGCUCUGAAGUGAAAUUGCAAUAAUACUGAAGCCCCUAAACAAGACACUUUUGAAAGAUUGCAAAUGAAACUGCAAAAAGUGAAAUAAUUCCUUGAAGAAUCUUUUAUUAAUUUUAAACUAAUAAGUCAGAUUUAUAAUUAAGGCACUUGGCAGAUUUCAUUAUAACAGCUCAGAUAUGAAUUCAGUUCAGAUAUCCAAAGCUGCAAGGUAGAGGGCGAGGGGCAAGGAACUAACAAAAGAUAUGACUUCACACUUGGAAGAGAUUGAUAUGUGAUAUGGUAAACUGCAAAAAAUCACCCAGGACAAAAAGAUAAUGCUCAAAAAAAAAAAAAAAAAAAAAAAAACACCACACCAAAAAAAAAAAACAACCAAACAAAAAAACCACAAAACACCAAACCAAAAACCAAAAAAACAGAAACAAAACACCACCACCACCCCAAAAAAACAAAAACAAAAAAAAAAAAAAAA
This 1914-nucleotide long non-coding RNA is filed under the name Strigops habroptila (Kakapo). RNAcentral's name for it is "lncRNA (ENSSHBG00005017913.1)". Lineage: Eukaryota; Metazoa; Chordata; Aves; Psittaciformes; Psittacidae. The record is from RNAcentral.